GUGAAUGGGACCCGGGAAGAGCAGUUGAGAUGAUUUCCUGUCCUGUGUAAUAGACUGGAGUGUUUGCUCUCCUGAAGAAUACCCAAGGAAGUGGGAUGGGGAUGGCAACAGCACUAAGAGCAGCACAGCACCCCCUCCAGUACAGAGCGUGUGGCUUCCAGCAGCACAUACUAUAACACUGUGCAGCAGCAGCAAUAGGCGCUGCUUUCCGGAGGAAAAAUGAUUCCCACGUGUGCUGGCAGGAUGACGUUGAAUUUCCGCGAAAAUCCAGCAUGGUGCGGGCUGCAGCUGGACUGGAGACAUCGCUGCAGGGAGUGAUUUACACACUGGGAGGGGGGAGGAUCUUCCCCACAACCUUUCCAGACACUGGUGUCAUCUUUGUAAGCACAGAAGUGCGUCUCCGGGUGUAGGCAUAGCUGCAAGCCCCGUGGCCACCCAGAGUCAAAGCAAAACCCUCAUCUCGACCCGACGGAGGAAAAUGAGAACCACACGUUAGCGGCUCAGACAUGAACCCGAAAGCAGGAGCUUGGACUUGGUGGCUUGCAAGGAAAGGUUGGGCAGUCCCUGCCCUGGCAUGAAGUCGGGUAACUCUUUGCUCCCUGGGCGGAGAGGAGCAUUUUUGCAACAACAAAAAAAUUAAAAAACAAAAACAAAAAAACCUAAAUAUAAUACUUUGAAUGAGAGGCACCGAAGUAAGAAAGCUUUUAA
Long non-coding RNA from Alligator sinensis (Chinese alligator), 708 nucleotides. RefSeq lists it as uncharacterized. Lineage: Eukaryota; Metazoa; Chordata; Crocodylia; Alligatoridae. The transcript has 3 exons. The record is from RefSeq and is a predicted model, not a curated record.